Molecule: non-coding RNA, 111 nt
Filed under: Sus scrofa (pig)
Lineage: Eukaryota; Metazoa; Chordata; Mammalia; Artiodactyla; Suidae
Source: RNAcentral
GUGUUGUAUGAAAGGAAAGGAGGUUAGCACUGCCCUGGAUAAGGAUAGAAGAAGCAUUGGUCCUAACAACACACGUUUAAGNCAAUAUACUGUCUACAAGCAACUCACCUU